This is a long non-coding RNA of Cydia strobilella, 514 nucleotides long. RefSeq lists it as uncharacterized. Lineage: Eukaryota; Metazoa; Arthropoda; Insecta; Lepidoptera; Tortricidae. The transcript has 2 exons. The record is from RefSeq and is a predicted model, not a curated record.
GCGCCGCCCGCCGGGGAGCGCCCCCGCGACCCCACCCCGCAGCUGCGGCCCGCGCAGCUCGCCACCUGCGCGCUCAUACUGCAGGAGAUCAACCGUAAAAUGCAGUGCGUCACGUGGCAGCCGCAGUCUUAGUUCCUCCCGUGACCAUAACGCCAACAACAUAGACAUAUAUAUUACUUCGUAAAGACCGGCCUUACGAGCACUACGAAUGGGGCCGAUACAUUGGAGUGGGAGUGGUGGGUGGAUUGGCGGGCGGCGCGGCGGGCGGGCCGGCCGGGCCGCGCACCGCGCAGGCGCGAGGAGCGCGCCGGUGCCCGCCAGUCUGACCAAUUAAAGAAGGCUCCGUUUCCAUUCAUAUUAUUAGCAAUCAGUUACCUUCUUAACUCAGUCGGAUAAUAUAAUGAAAAAGCACGAGUGUUAUAAUAUACUGAAAAAGCACGCGUGUUUAAUAUCUAGGAUUAUGAGCCAAAAAUCGGUGGAAUAAAAACGUCGUUUUGAGCAAGUGUGUUGAAAA